AACGUAGGGUGCAAGCGUUGUCCGGAAUUACUGGGUGUAAAGGGAGCGCAGGCGGGAAGGUAAGUUGGAUGUUGAAUCUACGGGCUCAACCCGGAUCAGCAUUCAAAACUAUUUUUCUUGAGUAGUGCAGAGGUAGGCGGAAUUCCCGGUGUAGCGGUGGAAUGCGUAGAUAUCGGGAGGAACACCAGUGGCGAAGGCGGCCUACUGGGCACUAACUGACGCUGAGGCUCGAAAGCAUGGGUAGCAAACAGGAUUAGCUACCCUGGUAGUCCAUGCCGUAAACGAUGAUUACUAGGUGUGGGCGGAUUGACCCCUUCCGUGCCGCAGUUAACACAAUAAGUAAUCCACCUGGGGAGUACGACCGCAAGGUUGAA
Molecule: ribosomal RNA, 374 nt
Filed under: uncultured bacterium
Lineage: Bacteria
Description: bacterial SSU rRNA
Rfam family: Bacterial small subunit ribosomal RNA
Source: RNAcentral